UUCCCUAGCGACGGCUAUUGUAAAUAAUCAAAGGAAAAUGGCGACCGGGUAGGUCUGGUUGCAACAUUGUCAAAAGGUUGUUACCGUCAAUUUCCUCCUAUUUAAUUCCAGAAAUGGUCAGCAGGCCACAGUCAAGUACGGCCGUGCUGAUGAUGUCUCUGAUCUGGAAGUACUAUGCUGACCCAGUGACGGUUCUGCCCAGUAAGUGGCUUUUCUCUAGAGCGAAUGGUGGCCUUCCCAUCUGGAGUAGCAGAUGGCGUUGGAAUCCCAUGGCGGCUCGUUGUUUGUAACAAGGCUGUUACAUUUUGAUAAACCAUCAGGAUUGUUUUGUAGCAUUUUCUUUCUUCACCAAUCCAUUCCUCGUCAUGAAACUACAUCAGACUUCUCAAAGUUGUCUUAUGAACUAAGUCUGGCUUAAUAAUGGUUACAAUUAGUUCCUUUUCUAAAUUAUUCGAGCCAUAUCACUCUUUUACCUACAUGCAACAGUGUUCUGCUGUGCAUCUUUGUUUGUCGGUUGCCUACUUUAUAACCCUCUUCCAGAAUUAUUAUUAUUUUGACUUAUCAAUAAAAACCUGCAAAACAUUA
Molecule: long non-coding RNA, 585 nt
Organism: Oncorhynchus tshawytscha (Chinook salmon)
Lineage: Eukaryota; Metazoa; Chordata; Actinopteri; Salmoniformes; Salmonidae
Exons: 4
Source: RefSeq, a predicted model, not a curated record